CUUUUCGAGGUAGGAGUCGACUCCUGUGAGGUAUGGUGCUGGGUGCAGAUGCAGUGUGGCUCUGGAUAGCACCUUAUGGACAGUUGUGUCCCCAAGGAAGGAUGAGAAUAGCUACUGAAGUCCUAAAGAGCAAGCCUAACUCAAGCCAUUGGCACACAGGCAUUAGACAGAAAGCUGGAAGUUGAAAUGGUGGAGUCCAACUUGCCUGGACCAGCUUAAUGGUUCUGCUCCUGGUAACGUUUUUAUCCAUGGAUGACUUGCUUGGGUAUGGAGAGUCGGCUUGACUACACUGUGUGGAGCAAGUUUUAAAGAAGCAAAGGACUCAGAAUUCAUGAUUGAAGAAAUGCAGGCAGACCUGUUAUCCUAAACUAGGUGAGUCAGCUUUUGGUACAUGUGAUGAUUUUCAGUGUAACCAAUGAUGUAAUGAUUCUGCCAAAUGAAAUAUAAUGAUAUCACUGUAAAACCGUUCCAUUUUGAUUCUGAGGUUACUCUACUAACAAGCAUCACACAUUUGUAUUUUGCCCUGAUUAAUAUGUUGGCUUCGCUUUCAGGGUUUUUAAUGACCACAACAAGCAAGCAUGCAGCUUACUGCUUGAAAGGGUCUUGCCUCACCCAAGCUAGAGUGCAGUGGCCUUUGAAGCUUACUACAGCCUCAAACUUCUGGGCUCAAGUGAUCCUCAGCCUCCCAGUGGUCUUUGUAGACUGCCUGAUGGAGUCUCAUGGCACAAGAAGAUUAAAACAGUGUCUCCAAUUUUAAUAAAUUUUUGCAAUCCA
RNAcentral lists this long non-coding RNA (774 nucleotides) under Homo sapiens (human). The stretch from base 411 to 487 matches the Rfam family "Small nucleolar RNA SNORD47". The record is from RNAcentral. Lineage: Eukaryota; Metazoa; Chordata; Mammalia; Primates; Hominidae.